GAAGGUUCUGUUCCAAGAAGUACAACUACUACAACUACACCAUAACAUAACACAACAUAACAUAACAUAAUGUAGCACACAUAUACAUGUAGUCGUGUAAACGCAAUAAUCAUAACCUAUUAGCCCUUGAUUUUACCCAUUUUGGUCGCUUUGGUAGGCUUUGAUUCCCCGACAAGCUUUGGUGUUUCAUCCAUACUGUACAAUCUGUCACGCAAUUCUCUCUCCCACUCUCUCCAAACAAACUACAUCGUUAUUUUGCUAGACCCGACCUAAGCCAAUGUCCAGCGAAGCACAUUC
RNAcentral lists this long non-coding RNA (297 nucleotides) under Glycine max (soybean). Its description in RNAcentral is "long non-coding RNA (GMAX_LNC004399)". The record is from RNAcentral. Lineage: Eukaryota; Viridiplantae; Streptophyta; Magnoliopsida; Fabales; Fabaceae.